Molecule: long non-coding RNA, 2644 nt
Organism: Triticum aestivum (bread wheat)
Lineage: Eukaryota; Viridiplantae; Streptophyta; Magnoliopsida; Poales; Poaceae
Exons: 3
Source: RefSeq, a predicted model, not a curated record
CCAAGUCCAUAACCUUACCCGUGCCAGCCGCCACCGCCGCCCUCGCACCCCAUCCCUAUCCCCCCAUCCUAGCGCUCAACCCACGGCCCUCACGCCGUCGCCACCGUAUCCACGCUCCACCCCACGGCCCUCACGCCGUCGCCACCGUAUCCAUGCUCCACCCCACGGUCCUGCUACUGUCGCCGCCGUCCUCGCGCUCCGCCCGAGAUCCAUCCGCCGUCCUUGCACUCUGCCCGAGAUCCCAUCGCUGUCCUCGCGCUCCGCCCGAGAUCCAGCCGCCGUCCUCGCAAUCCGACUGAGAUCCAGGCGAAAUCGGCCCUCACGUUCAGGGAUCCACCCCCAUCCCCGUCCUCCAGCCCCCAACCUCGUCCGCCAUCUUAUUUCUGCCGCCGGUAGAGAUCCAUCCGUGAGCUCUCCAUCCCGUUGCGCCCCUCCCGAAGCCAGCCGUCCGUUGCUGCAGAUCUCGUCACAAGACUCGUCUUUUCCAAUAGGAGCGGGUGUACAUGAUGGUGAGCUUGCAGGGCGGCGAGUACGCGAUACUACCUGGCAGCAAGGACGAGAGGUGGGCGAGCGGAGGGCGCCGAGGUGGACCCAAAGUCCAGUCAAUGUUUAAGGAGGCACAUUCCAAUUUUAUUCUCCAUCACUUUUGAAUUACAUCGUCAUCUACACAUAAUAUUUAUGAAUAACAGUGUCAUCUUUUGAUAUAAUUUUUUUAUGUGAGCACGGUGUUGUUUUCCUUUUGCAUGAAUAUGGCAUUAGCAUUCAAACCUUAGGCUCAACAUAUACUCUCAUCUUCCUCUACAUCCACAUACCUUCAACUACUUGAAGCUGCAUAUGGUUUCCAGCGGGGAGAAUUGCAAGUUCCGAUCACAUUCAAACCUUAGAGGCACCUUCUCAUAGUGCCUCACACCGCAUUGCUUGGACAUGUGAAUUCAAAUUGUAGAGUCCGCCACCUUGGUGCAGUGGCUAGAUAAUUUCAGGAUUCAGACAUUCAAUACUUAUAUGAGAUGUUCGUGUUCAUUCUGGUUGUUGGCAUAAUAUUUGUUCUUUUGACAAGUUCAUUCAUUAUACUAACCAAGUACAUAACUUGCAGACCUUUGGCCUUUACUUUAUGAUUUGAUUUCGGAAGCCGAUUUAUCUAUAUUGAACACAUUUUCUUUUUUUGCAGGAUGGUUGAUACAUGUCUACACAUUUUGUCAGAGCAAUUUGCAGUGAAAGAAGCAGCCUCAAACUGAUAAGGAUUAUUCUAGAAAAAAACUGAUAAGAAGGCAACAUUUAUUUCUAUUAAGUAAUGGUUAUUGUUGUAGAUGAAGGAUGACAAGACGGCAACUAAUGUACCAGGAGGUGCAGGAUGGUUGAUACAUGUCUACACAUUUUUUCAGAGCAAUUUGCAGUGAAAGAAGCAGCCUCAAACUGAUAAGGAUUAUUCUAGAAAAAAACUGAUAAGAAGGCAACAUUUAUUUCUAUUAAGUAAUGGUUAUUGUUGUAGAUGAAGGAUGACAAGAUGGCAACUAAUGUACCAGGAGGUGCAGGUACUACAACAUAAUACAUACAUUAAGUUUAUUGUUUCUCUCUUAGAAAUAUACCUAGAUCAUUUUGAGCCUUGACUAAAGCGCGACAUUUCUGCCUGAACCUAUAGCAUUACUAGAUAACAUUUUGUAUCUUGUUCAUAAAACUGAACUCCACAUACUGCAGUUUAUAAUAAAAAAUAUGAAAAUAACACAACAUGAUCUGAAGCGCACAUACAUUGCUUAUAGGAGUUAACAUACACAAAUCAGUUUGGUGUUAUCCCUUUGGUGGUCACAAUCUGAAGAUCACAUGGCAUAAACUGAACUUCACAUACUACAGUUUUUGGGGUCAGAAGUUGUACAUUUCCGUUCUACUUCAUCAGAUAACGUACAAACACAAUUAUUUUCAAACUUUGAAGAUUACAUCAGCUAACUUUGUAGUAGAACAAAUACAACUUCAGAUUGGCUGAUCCUACUACAGUUUGUUGCAUGUAAGAUGUUGAAUAAAAUUUGUAGAUUUGUCUGCCAUGGAAAAAUGCAUAUUCUAUAUAUAUGUAGAUAUGUCUGCAUGAUGAUUCCUUUUAUCAUUUUAUAAAUAUCUUACCUCAUGUAUGACAGAACUAUGUUAUGUGUGUUAUGGACAUAUGUCAUAAAUACUUAAUUCUUGUGCUUCUCUUGGCUGCCAAUUUCCCUACGAGCUUCAAAGCACUUGAGCUGACUCCACUUUCUACCAAAUUCUUGUGGGGUAUUUUCACGUAAUCAGCAACCUAGUAUGCAUGGAUGUGAUGGCUUGGAAGUGUUAUGGAGCAUUUGGCUGUCUACAGUAUUUUGGACCAGCAAUCUUAAUUGUAAUCAUGAACGUAUGUGUGUUCUGGACCAUUUGGUGCUCAAGUAUUAUGGAGUAGAAAUCUUGUGCUCAUGGAUGUGACUCAAGUGUUUUGGACCAUUUAGUGUUUGAACUAUUUUAGACCAGCAAAUAGGGGUCCUUUAAUGUGACUUUUGUUUUCUGGAUGGUUGCCAAGAUAGCCAAACUUUGCUUUGUGUAGAUUGACUCGUGUUUGAACGUGUGAACAAUAUAUAUGUGUGUAUUCUUAUUACCAUAUUAUCAAUGGUUGUGAAAUAUGUGUUCAUCUUGA